RNAcentral lists this ribosomal RNA (497 nucleotides) under uncultured bacterium. Its description in RNAcentral is "partial 16S ribosomal RNA". It matches the Rfam family "Bacterial small subunit ribosomal RNA", at positions 28 to 507 of the family's 1533-position model. The record is from RNAcentral.
GAUGAACGCUGGCGGCGUGCCUAAUACAUGCAAGUCGAGCGAACAGACGAGGAGCUUGCUCCUCUGACGUUAGCGGCGGACGGGUGAGUAAUACGUGGAUAACCUACCUAUAAGACUGGGAUAACUUCGGGAAACCGGAGCUAAUACCGGAUAAUAUAUUGAACCGCAUGGUUCAAUAGUGAAAGACGGUUUUGCUGUCACUUAUAGAUGGAUCCGCGCCGCAUUAGCUAGUUGGUAAGGUAACGGCUUACCAAGGCAACGAUGCGUAGCCGACCUGAGAGGGUGGUCGGCCACACUGGAACUGAGACACGGUCCAGACUCCUACGGGAGGCAGCAGUAGGGAAUCUUCCGCAAUGGGCGAAAGCCUGACGGAGCAACGCCGCGUGAGUGAUGAAGGUCUUCGGAUCGUAAAACUCUGUUAUUAGGGAAGAACAAAUGUGUAAGUAACUAUGCACGUCUUGACGGUACCUAAUCAGAAAGCCACGGCUAACUACGUG